Siniperca chuatsi (mandarin fish) is the source of this 5323-nucleotide long non-coding RNA. RefSeq lists it as uncharacterized. Lineage: Eukaryota; Metazoa; Chordata; Actinopteri; Centrarchiformes; Sinipercidae. The transcript has 3 exons. The record is from RefSeq and is a predicted model, not a curated record.
CAGAGUCUUUUGACGCCAGGUGUGCUGGUAAUCAGACGCAGACGGGAGAUCAGGAAACCAGCCCAGAGCACAGACACAUCCACACUUACACACCAGGACAGACAAAGGACAGCCAGAAAACACGAGGAGAGACAGAGACCUGGCUUCAUCACAACAUAAAGCUAUUGCACUUGAUGGACGGUCCGUGUUCCGGCCCGACAGAAUGCAAGACUCCGGUAAGAGCUGUUGCUGUGGUAGCGACUUGUCAAUCACAAGGCUGUCCAGUUCCAGUCCGACCACAGAGCUGAUGCCACCACCCCAGCACACCACAGCAAAGAACAGUGAGCUACCAGUGGCCGGUGAUCUGCAGGAGCCUGUUGCACACACUGAAGGCUCUGACACCGGGGACACACAGGAGGCGGAAGCGCCGCGCUAGCUCAUUUCUCCAGCGAGCAGCAGCCUGGAUGUUCGCACCAGAAGCGCGUUUCUCCGCGCCGGUCAUCAAGCGCUUCUGCUCCUCUGCACUUUUCUAAUCAAAGUAAAGAGCUGAUCUUUAUAAUAACCUCAUGAAUUUAGAACUUACAGCUUUUUAUGUGUUUCUGUGGAGCGUCGCUUCUUCUGCAACAAUGAAGUCUAAAGGAUCGUGUGAUGAUCUGCUGGGAGGCACACACACACGCGCGCGCACGCACACGCACACACGUCUGCUCGUCUCUCUAAAGACAACUAACUAAUGUGUGGAAUAAGUACGUAAUUUAAAAAACAAUCACAAACAGCAGAUCUUGAUAUUUUAUGGGGGGGGAAAUCCCUCCACAUACGUAUGACUGUCACCAUCCAUUUAGCUUAGAUUCUUUUGAACAUGCAAAACUGGAUCAGAAAUGGAUCCAUUGAGAAUUAAAACAUACAUGUAGCAAAAUGUCCUAAAUGGUUUGGGGCUCAAAAUAAAACUCCAGGGUAUAAACAGCAAAAGACUGUUAAUCAACAUGUACAAAUCUGAAAAGAUCAAUCCAACAGACAUAGAAAAAGGCCAAGUUAAAGGCAGAAUGUGCCUUUUGAACCGAUUUCUGUUUGUUAUGGCGAGGCAAUACAACUGGCCUGCAUUUCUGUGGCCAACCUGUGAGAUUUAUGUGAGUGGUCAGGGCACACUUCCUCUUUGAGAUGACCAUUUCAGGUCUCAUUGCAGGCAGAGGGCAGAGGCAUUUUCCACCUGUGAGAGAUUCUCACCAAGAAAGUUAAUUCCAUCCAAAAGAGGAUUCAUUGUGGAGCAUGAUUUUUUUCCAGCACGAGUCCACCCUUGACUCCACGGGUCAAAGCUGUUUCUACACGUCAAAAUCACAGCACAGGCACCACUUGCAGCUGAGGAACCAUCUAAAAUCGAAUCUAAUAAGAGCUGAGGAUUUGGUAACACUUCACUUCAAAUGCUAUCACGCUGACCCAGUGCUGCUGUCAUCAGCACUGCCUAUAUGAGCGACAGGGCAGUGAGCACUACUGUAAUCUGAGGAUGGGGUGAAAUGGCUGUGAGUUUAUAAAUGUAGCCUGACUCAGAGUCAUGUCCCCAGUCUCAACCCCUGCUCCUUCCCCUCAAGAGAGGCCCCGCACAUGUUACCUCUGUUUGCCCCGACCAUCCGUCAGACCAGACCCACACUGUGCUUUCGUAAUGGACCAGAUGAGCUCAGCCAGGUCCCUGACUCUCCUCUCCCUCACAGGCAUUUGACCUGAGGGAGGAUCAUGCCAAGGGGGUUUGUGCUGGGGUCAAGUGUCUCUGUGGCAUUUUUAUUCUAGUGGUAAGUUUGUUUCUUUUAACCAUGACCACAGUUCCCAAACCUUAACCAAUGACUUGUGCGGUCAUACAUGUUUUGUAAAACACAGACAAACAAUGUGGUGCUGUUUGGAGCACCAGAUUUUGGAAGGCCGUGAGAAAUGAUCUGUUUUCCCUUUUGGGUGAACUUGUUGAAACUGCUGCACCAUUAAACAACAAUGUAACCUAUGAUGAAGAAUACAUGAAGAAGUGACAAAAAAUAGCACCAUAGCAUGCUUUAGUAAAGUGGUCAGCAGUAAUGUAAAGUAUGUGUGAUUUGUGAGCUAAAACAUGCAAAACACUGGUAUGGUCCUUUAAAGUUGAGGUAACUCAAGUGUAAAAUCCAAAGCAGGAGUCUCUUGACUCCAUCGAAGGUCUCUGACUGUGAAGUGCAUAGGUUAAACCUUUUCAUAGUGCAGCCAUUAGUAAAGUGUAAUAUGUCAGGAGGUGGACCUGGAACAAAAAGGGCACAGGUUUGAUCCCUACACCAUGUAUAAAGCUCCAGUGUGUUUUCGGGCUCUACGUGUUUAGUCUGGUGUUGCUCUGAAUAAAAGCAUCUGUAAAAUGUGUCAAAUGUAGAGACAAUCCUGGAUGGUGUGAUGAUGUGAUCAUCCUGAGAGGAAUUCAAAUAUCUUUCUACACUUGUAAAAGCCUCUGAACUAUAAGAAAACCUCCACCUUGAACCCUUGAAAUAUGCAUGGGUCUUUUCAUCAUGGAGCAGGCGACACAGUGCCUAAACAAGCCUCACAUUUCAGUCCCUUAGCCUCGCUGUGAUUGGCCUGGCAGCCUGACUGUUUGUGACAGAUACAGCCAAACACAGCGGCCUGCUAAUCAAAGUCGUAUGUGUGUUCUGAGAGUUUGGCUUCAACUCUGACCUUUAAUUUCUCAUUAAUUUAUGCUGACAUACAAUAUCCCAUUUGUCAGCGCUAAGUCAAGGCACAGCUUUCCACAUGUGGGAGUAAUUAAGUAACAUGUUAGAUGCUAAUUUCAAACCCAAUUCAAGCUACAGUAUGUUAAGUCAAAAUCAACCUCAGUCGCUGAAAGCAAAAUGUCCAUCAAGUGUUUUUUAUUUGUUUGUGCAAUUCACAGUUUGACGUAGGUUUUCUGAUGUAAGUGCUAUACCCAAACUGGUCUGACUGUCUUAGUCACCUCUUGUAAAUGUUUUGUCAGUGUUAACUAAUGGCUUUAGUUAUGGAUAUUGAAUCAUUUACUAAUGCUUUAUAGAUCAGUUAUGAACCAUUAUUAAGCACAACUUGUGCAGAUUGUGCACAAGUGAUGUUUAUCUUCCAGCAUGACACUUGGCUUAAUUCUGAUUAGAAGUGAGAGUUUCUUUUUACUAGUCUACAAAGCAUCAGUAAAUUGCUUGUAGAUCAGUGAUUAAAACAAUGAUUAAUAAAGCCAUUUGAUACAACUUCUAAACCUUUUAUUAAGCAUGCCUUAUUAGGAUGUUGUACCUUGAAAAUACUAUAACUAGACGUAAAUAUAGAAAUAAUUAGUUGAAGUUUUUCAUUAAUUUUCUCCAGAACAUGGUGGAUUAAUCAACUACGUACUUCAGUUACAGCACAGUUUAGAUACAGUAUUUAGAUUUUUUUAAACAAAGGAAUCCACAAAAACAGUGUUAAAGGCUUCCCAAAUUGGUCAGUAAUAACACAAAGAAAGGGAGAAGUUGAAUGUUAUGUUAUAUGAAGUAGUAGAAUUUAAUCUGCUGAAUUUGUGCACAAUUACCAGCAACUAAAAACCUUAGACUGGCAGCUACUCUGGAUUGCAACACAUUUCAAGCAUUCCAGUGCUCUUCAUCAAGAGUAGCAUCAAGAGGUUUAUGUUGAUGUGACAUGAUAAUGACAUCAUACAACACAGUAGUGGAAUACUUACACUACUGGUGGUCCUUUUACAUCAAGACAUAUUAAACACAAACAAAAAACACUUUGUAAGACUAAAUCUGCAGUGUGUGCAGUUGAAAAAUGACCAAUUGACCAAUCUUCUCUCUCACGCUUUCUUUUUUAUUUUUCACUCAGUUGACGCGGUCAUAAAUUCUGGGCUGCAUAACUCUUCACAUGUUUGUUGUUGUUCUGUCUGUAAGUAAGUAAAUGUGCCGCUGCUGCCUUUUCCAUCCUCCUCAAUUGAGCUAACAUGGAUCAAUAAAAGUCAAAUAAAGGAAGAAUAAAGGCCUCUGAAUGGAAUUUAAUGGACCUCUUUGGCUUGUUUGCAGACUGCCCCUAUAAACAAUAUAACUAGUGGUCAAUUUCUCCACAUGAGGAGGGUUGGGUUGGUGGGUGGGGGUAGCAGGGUCGGGGGUUGCAGAGAUGUGCUAAGUAUAGUGUGAGGGGCUGUCAAAUAUGCUGGACAACAGUGGCAACAAAAAUGUCAGGUGAAAAACCUGGGAGGACAUGUGUCACUUUGAUUCCAGAGCAGAGGCCAGUGCUGCAAGUUCAGUGUCCAGCGUGCCUGUCUAAAUCCUCCUCUGUCUCCCCCUAAUCCGAAGGAAAACACUUAUAUCCAGAGCCAGAUGCACAGAGCUGCAGGGGAAGAAGGGUCUGGCUGACAGAAAAUACUGAUUUCUUUGUAAAACUAAGGGAGUGGGACACUAGAUGGGUGUCCAUCCACCUGUUUUUAUGCACAUAUUCAAGUUGUGCAUAAUAAAACCUGAGUGGAAAUGAAAAUUUUAAAUAUUUGGAAAAUAUUGCAGCAAAGUUUUUACACUUGACUGAGGUGGAAAAGUUGGUGUAUCGAUAAAAGCAAAAUACGACAGUGCAAUGGAAACUUAUUGAAUAAAUCAUGAUGUGCAUGAAGCAUUCUGACUUAAAAGUCCACUCAAUCCUCCACUCCACUUAAGAGAAGAAAAAUAGCGGCAGAUGAAAACAUCAAAUCAUAACAGAAUAUAGCAACUUUCACUACUGCUCAUUUUAGAAAAGCCAAACGUGAAGAAAACGUGUUCUUUGUUUAAUUAUCAAACAGACAAUGGAUCAUAGAUGUUUGUUUCUGGCUUCCAGCAUUAGCUAGCGUAGUCAGCGAGCCUUCAUUUUCCCAGGAUCGUGCCCGGUGGACAGAGAAGGACGGACGGUAGGUUUGUUUCUUUGUGUCGAACCUCCCCCUUCUCCUAAGAAAAAGAUGAUUAGCCAAAUUAAAAACUGAUUGAUAACUGGUUCAGGCUGCUUAUUGGUGAAAUUCAUUUUUGAUUGACAGAGGACUGUAAGCCUCUGAUUGGCCAAAUUAAAAAAUUAUUGACAGAUAGCCCGCCCAUUCAAAGUCUCCAGAGUCUGCAGAGAUACCCUAUUCAAAGAAAGGGCUACCUAAAGCCAGCCAUAUCCACAGAUUACCAUAAAUAACGUUACAUGAAACACCACCACACAAAGUAACCUAAAUCUAUAGCUACUGUAUGGCUACAUGUUGCUAAAUGAAUUCAUUACUCUAUCAUGAAAGAUUCAUCACUUGAUAUGACUAAGUCUGAGUCUCAUUCCACUCGACCAUGAAAUAUGCAAGUUGUGCAACGAACUGGCAACCACUGAAAUGGAAUGAAAGGGGGGAGGGGGGUGCGUCCUCUAGUGGCUG